GAUGAACGCUGGCUACAGGCUUAACACAUGCAAGUCGAGGGGAAACGACGGGGAAGCUUGCUUCCCCGGGCGUCGACCGGCGCACGGGUGAGUAACGCGUAUCCAACCUGCCUCUGACUGAGGGAUAACCCGUCGAAAGUCGGCCUAAUACCUCAUGGUAUCGUCUGCGGGCAUCCAACGACGAUUAAAGAUUUCAUCGGUCAGGGAUGGGGAUGCGUCUGAUUAGCUUGUUGGCGGGGUAACGGCCCACCAAGGCUACGAUCAGUAGGGGUUCUGAGAGGAAGGUCCCCCACAUUGGAACUGAGACACGGUCCAAACUCCUACGGGAGGCAGCAGUGAGGAAUAUUGGUCAAUGGGCGAGAGCCUGAACCAGCCAAGUAGUGUGCAGGAAGACGGCCCUAUGGGUUGUAAACUGCUUUUAUGCGGGGAUAAAGUGAGGGACGUGUCCCUCAUUGCAGGUACCGCAUGAAUAAGGACCGGCUAAUUCCGU
Molecule: ribosomal RNA, 490 nt
Filed under: uncultured bacterium
Lineage: Bacteria
Description: partial 16S ribosomal RNA
Rfam family: Bacterial small subunit ribosomal RNA
Source: RNAcentral